This is a long non-coding RNA of Glycine soja, 348 nucleotides long. RefSeq lists it as uncharacterized. The transcript has 3 exons. The record is from RefSeq and is a predicted model, not a curated record. Lineage: Eukaryota; Viridiplantae; Streptophyta; Magnoliopsida; Fabales; Fabaceae.
UUUACUACUCAAGGCGUAUUCUCCAUGAUGAUAGUCGAGGAGUUGGGGAACCACUUGAACAAGUUUGCGUGAUCAACAAUAAUAAUACAUGCGAAGGACUAACAGUCAGAGGAAAUUAUUAUAUCAGCAUCCACAAGCUUGGAGUUGGUUCACGCUGGCGUCGUACAACUGGUCAGGAAAUUUAUUUUCCAUUCUUAGUGGCUUUUACACAUGAGCAUCUAUGCUUAACUGGACUUUGAUAUCUUUGCUUGAUUUGAUGGCAUUUCUUUUCAUUCAGUACACUGCUUGCAGAAAGGGUGAGAAGCUUGCUCUUAUCCCUGUUUAACUCGCGUUGUUGCAUAAUGGGCU